This is a long non-coding RNA of Danio rerio (zebrafish), 2314 nucleotides long. Lineage: Eukaryota; Metazoa; Chordata; Actinopteri; Cypriniformes; Danionidae. The record is from Ensembl.
GAACUGUAAGUUAUUAAAUAUAUUUGUGAAAUAUCGUUCUUCUUUUUUAAAUAUAGAAUCUUGAGAGCAAAAUGAUCGAAUUUCUGAAGAAAGAAAUGCAAACGUUUAGGAAAAUCUUACAAGAAGAAAACAGACAAGAGUUUGUGAAGGACUUUAAUGAGAACAGAAGCAUUAUCACAGAAGCAGCUCUUGAUCUCACACUCUUCUUCCUGAAAGAGAUGAAGCAAGAUCAAGCUGCUGAUACCCUUGAGGGUAAGCGAAUCAUAGGUAUCUGUCAGACUGACACAUACAAAUAUAGCUGGAAAAGUCAAGACUAAAUCUCUCUGUUUCUUUGCUCCUGUGUUUAGAUGAGCUGUUCUUCAUUAAUCAGCUUAAAUGUAGCCUGAAGAAGAAAUAUCAAAGUGUGUUUGAAGGAAUUGCUCAGCAAGGAGACUCCACACUUCUGAAUAAGAUCUACACAGAUCUCUAUAUCACUCAGGGUGCGAGUGAACAGGUCAACACUGAACAUGAGAUCAGACAGAUUGAAGCUGCUUCCAGACGUCAUCAGCCACUAGAGAUACAGGUUAAAUGCAAACAUUUGUUUGAAGCAGCUGAACAAGACGAGCAGAUCAGAACUGUCCUGACAAAAGGAGUUGCUGGCAUCGGGAAAUCAGUCUCUGUGCAAAAGUUUGUUCUGGAUUGGGCUGAAGGGAAAGAAAAUCAAAACAUGAGCUUCAUAUUUCCUCUUCCAUUCAGAGAGAUGAACUUAAAGGAGAAAGAAAGACAAAGUUUAAAAGACCUCAUAACUCAGUUUUUCCCAGAGACUAAAGGACUGAACCUUACAAGAAGCACACGAUUCAAAGUCCUGUUCAUCCUUGAUGGAUUGGAUGAAUGUCGUCUUCCUCUGAACUUUGCUGGUAAUGAGACGUGUCGUGAUGUAUCUUCAGCAGUCUCUCUGGAUGUUCUCCUGACGAACCUCAUCAAGGGAAAUCUGCUUCCUUCUGCUCUCAUCUGGAUCACCAGCAGACCAGCAGCUGCCAGUAAGAUUCCUGCUGACUGUAUCGACCGGCUGACAGAGAUACGAGGAUUCAAUGAUGCCCAAAAGGAGGAGUACUUCAGAAAGAGACUCACAGAUCAGAAUCAGGCCGGAGAAAUCAUUGAUCACAUUAAACAGUCAAAGAGUCUCUUUAUUAUGUGCCACAUCCCAGUCUUCUGCUGGAUUUCAGCCACUGUUCUCCAGAACAUACUGAAACUGAAACACAGGGCUCAUGCUGAAACACUGCAGGAAUCUCCCAAGACUCUGACACAGAUGUACACACACUUUCUCCGCUUUCAGAUCCAGCAGAGCAGAAGAAAGUAUGAUGGGGAAAACACAGCAGAUGUCUCCUGGGAUCCAAAGCUCAUCCUUUCACUGGGGAAACUGGCCUUCCAGCAGCUGGACAGAAACAAUGUGAUCUUCUAUGAGAGCGAUCUGAAAGACUGUGGCAUUGACGUCUAUAAGGCAUCGGUGUACUCAGGCAUGUGUACCCAGAUCUUUAAGGAGGAGACGGGAAUCAUUUUUGGUACCAUGUACUGCUUUCUUCACUUGAGCAUUCAGGAGUUCAUUGCAGCCCUUUAUCAACAUCUGAUUCUAGACAGAGACAAGACACAAGCAGAAAACAGCAGAGAUAAGUCCAUGAUUGAUUUGCUGAAGGCUGCAGUGGACAAGGCUCUGGAAAGUGAGAAUGGACAUCUGGACCUUUACCUUCGCUUCCUUCUCGGUCUGUCACUCCAGUCCAGUCGACAACUCUUACGAGGCCUGUUGACACAGCAGGAUGACAGAGACCAGAGCAAAGAGGAAAUAAUUGCCUACAUCAAGCAGAAACUUGAAGGGAAUCUGUCUCCAGAGAGAUCCAUCAAUCUGUUCUACUGUCUGAAUGAACUGAACGACCAAACUCUGCUGAAAGAGAUUCAGUCUCAACUUAGUAGUCGACGUCUGUCUCCUUACCUUUCACCUGCCCAGUGGUCUGCUCUGGUCUUUGUGUUGUUGACCUCAGAGGAGGAGCUGGAGGAGUUUGAGCUUCAGAAAUUCCAGAGAUCAGACGAGUGUCUCAUCAGACUAUCAGCAGUCAUCAAAACCUCCAAAAGAGCUCUGCUACAGAGCUGUAAACUCACUGUUCAGUGCUGUGAGAGUUUAUCUUCAGCUCUACAAUCCUCAAACUGUGUGCUGAGAGAGCUGGACCUGAGUAACAAUGACCUGCAGGAUUCAGGAGUGAAGAAGCUCUCUGAUGGACUGAAGAGUCAACACUGUAAACUGGACACACUGAGGUCUGAGUUCAAACAUCUGAUUGAUUGA